GAAGAGAUGACUGAGCGGCUAAAAGUAACAGAUUGUAAAUCUGUCAGGUUUUACCUAUCGUAGGUUCAAAUCCUACUCUCUUCA
Molecule: transfer RNA, 84 nt
Filed under: Stephanopyxis turris
Lineage: Eukaryota; Bacillariophyta; Melosirophyceae; Stephanopyxales; Stephanopyxidaceae
Description: tRNA-Tyr
Rfam family: tRNA
About the family: Transfer RNA (tRNA) molecules are approximately 80 nucleotides in length. Their secondary structure includes four short double-helical elements and three loops (D, anti-codon, and T loops).
Source: RNAcentral